This 581-nucleotide ribosomal RNA is filed under the name Haemogregarina sp. RNAcentral's name for it is "SSU rRNA". It matches the Rfam family "Eukaryotic small subunit ribosomal RNA", at positions 328 to 903 of the family's 1831-position model. Lineage: Eukaryota; Apicomplexa; Haemogregarinidae. The record is from RNAcentral.
GUAGGGUAUUGGCUUACCGUGGCAGUGACGGUUAACGGGGGAUUAGGGUUCGAUUCCGGAGAGGGAGCCUGAGAAACGGCUACCACAUCUAAGGAAGGCAGCAGGCGCGCAAAUUACCCAAUCCUAACAGCACAAGGGAGGUAGUGACAAGAAAUAACAAUACAAGGCAAUUAAAAUGUUUUGUAAUUGGAAUGAUAGAAAUUUAAACACUUUCUAAAGUAUCAAUUGGAGGGCAAGUCUGGUGCCAGCAGCCGCGGUAAUUCCAGCUUCAAUAGCGUAUAUUAAAGUUGUUGCAGUUAAAAAGCUCGUAGUUGGAUUUCUGUUAAAAAUAACUGGUCUGCUUUUAAUAAAAGUGGUACCUUGGUGUGUUUUUAGCAUUAAUGUCUUAUGAAGUGUUUUUUACUUUAUUGUUAAAAGCAAUAUUCAGGAUUUUUACUUUGAGAAAAUUAGAGUGUUUCAAGCAGACUAACGUUUUGAAUACUGCAGCAUGGAAUAAUAAAAUAGGAUUUUGGUUCUACAUUAUUGGUUUUAAGAACUAAAUUAAUGAUUAAUAGGGACGGUUGGGGCAUUUGUAUUUGACU